RNAcentral lists this long non-coding RNA (952 nucleotides) under Marmota monax (woodchuck). The record is from RNAcentral. Lineage: Eukaryota; Metazoa; Chordata; Mammalia; Rodentia; Sciuridae.
ACUGUCACCCUCAUUGAGAAGCAGGCACGGAUUGUGGUGAAGCCCAGGAUGGUGUCACAAGAGGGAAAACAGAGGAAAGCGGCCCUGCUGGCCCUGGGUGCUGAGGUCACAGGUGAAGAGGAUGAAGCAGAUGAGAGGAUGAUUCAGGUGCCACCAGGAUGAACACCGGUUCUCAGAAAUCUCUGUUUCGAAUCACCAAUGUAGAAGAUGUCCUCCAUGCUCAGAAAUUGGAGAAAGCUUCACUUUGGAAUGAGUCCCAAAGGAAGGAGGAACAGGACAAGCUGCAGCGGGAAAGAGACAAAUUAGCCAAGCAGGAGAGCAAAGAAAAGGACACAAGAGAGGGGAGCGAAAGCGAUGACCCUGGGCUGUUGGGUUCUUCCCCUGCUUCAAGAACUUGACAAAUCGGAAAACUGGUUGUGCAUAUGUAUAUUUAGGAGAAAUGAGAGAACAAUGCAUAGUGAUUUCCCAAGGCAUUUCCCUUUAUGUUUACAUAGUCAAAAGGAAAAUCACCACCGCUUCUCAUUACAAAGUGUGUCAUGUUUUGGUGAUGUGGGUGAUCAGAUGAUUAUAGUUGAUGUCUGUGCCAAAGAGCUGCAAUUGGGGCAAUCUUUAUAUUUCAAUACUGAAGUCCUGUGCUCCUUUUGGCACCUUUUAUAUAAAAUACCUUCUCUCACCUUGGAUAAAGUUUUCCUUGGAUGAAUAGCACGAUUCAGAAAGCUAACAGUUACACUUUUCAUUUGGGAGAAGAAACAUGACCAUUCCUCUGAGAUUGAAAAGUGCAAGUACAAAUUGCUUCAGAGGAAAUAUUUAUUCUUAAAUGUCGUAUAGUUUAUGGCUGAUGUAUAAAGCUAAUAAGGAAGCCAGAUGGGGUGGUGCACACCUUUAAUCCCAGCCCUCUAGGGAGACUGAGGCAGAAGGAUCACAAAUUUGAGGCCAGCUUGGGCAACAUAUC